AGCAUCCGGUGCCCUGCAGCUUUGCGGGGAUAAUAGGGAAGCAGGUCAGAAUCCUGCGCGAUCCCGUCACUGUGAUAGAACGUGUAAGCCCAUUAUGUCACUGGGAGUUUAACGACCCCGGGAAGGCGGACUUACAUGCUAUGUUCUUAAGCCAGGAGACCUGCCGGUGCUU
Molecule: non-coding RNA, 172 nt
Filed under: bovine gut metagenome
Source: RNAcentral